This 424-nucleotide ribosomal RNA is filed under the name uncultured bacterium. RNAcentral describes it as "bacterial SSU rRNA". It matches the Rfam family "Bacterial small subunit ribosomal RNA", at positions 355 to 796 of the family's 1533-position model. The record is from RNAcentral.
UGGGGAAUCUUGCACAAUGGAGGAAACUCUGAUGCAGCGACGCCGCGUGAGCGAUGAAGCCCUUCGGGGUGUAAAGCUCUUUCGACGGGAACGAUAAUGACGGUACCCGAAGAAGAAGCUGCGGCUAACUACGUGCCAGCAGCCGCGGUAAUACGUAGGCAGCAAGCGUUGUUCGGAAUUACUGGGCGUAAAGAGUGUGUAGGCGGUGCUCUAAGUCUGUCGUGAAAUCUCCCGGCUUAACUGGGAGGGUGCGGCGGAAACUGGAGUGCUAGAGGGUGGGAGAGGAAAGCGGAAUUCCUGGUGUAGCGGUGAAAUGCGUAGAUAUCAGGAGGAACACCUGCGGUGUAGACAGCUUUCUGGACCACUUCUGACGCUGAGACACGAAAGCGUGGGUAGCAAACAGGAUUAGAUACCCCCGUAGUCC